RNAcentral lists this ribosomal RNA (301 nucleotides) under uncultured bacterium. Its description in RNAcentral is "partial 16S ribosomal RNA". It matches the Rfam family "Bacterial small subunit ribosomal RNA", at positions 509 to 807 of the family's 1533-position model. The record is from RNAcentral.
CAGCCGCCACGGUAAUACGUAGGUGGCAAGCGUUGUCCGGAAUUAUUGGGCGUAAAGGGCUCGCAGGCGGUUUCUUAAGUCUGAUGUGAAGGCCCCCGGCUCAACCGGGGAGGGUCAUUGGAAACUGGGAAACUUGAGUGCAGAAGAGGAGAGUGGAAUUCCACGUGUAGCGGUGAAAUGCGUAGAGAUGUGGAGGAACACCAGUGGCGAAGGCGACUCUCUGGUCUGUAACUGACGCUGAGGAGCGAAAGCGUGGGGAGCGAACAGGAUUAGAUACCCGAGUAGUCCCUGUCUCUUAUAC